UACGAAGGGGGCUAGCGUUGCUCGGGAAUCACUGGGCGUAAAGGGUGCGUAGGCGGGUCUUUUAAGUCAGGGGUGAAAUCCUGGAGCUCAACUCCAGAACUGCCUUUGAUACUGAGGAUCUUGAGUUCGGGAGAGGUGAGUGGAACUGCGAGUGUAGAGGUGAAAUUCGUAGAUAUUCGCAAGAACACCAGUGGCGAAGGCGGCUCACUGGCCCGAUACUGACGCUGAGGCACGGAAAGCGUGGGGAGCAAACAGG
This 256-nucleotide ribosomal RNA is filed under the name uncultured bacterium. RNAcentral's name for it is "partial 16S ribosomal RNA". It matches the Rfam family "Bacterial small subunit ribosomal RNA", at positions 524 to 776 of the family's 1533-position model. The record is from RNAcentral.